CUGCAUGGCUGUCGUCAGCUCGUGUCGUGAGAUGUCGGUUAAGUCCGCUAACGAGCGCAACCCUCGCUGUGUGUUACAAGUGUCACACGGGAACUGCCGGUCAUAAACCGGAGGAAGGUGGGGAUGACGUCAAGUCAGCAUGGCCUUUACAUCCUGGGCUACACACACGCUACAAUGGGAGGGGACAAUAGGUUGCGAAGCCGCGAGGCGGAGCCAAUCCAGCAAAACUUCCCUCAGUUCAGAUUGCAGGCUGCAACUCGCCUGCAUGAAGUUGGAGUUGCUAGUAAACGCAGGUCAGCCAUACUGCGUUGAAUACGUUCCCGGGGCUU
RNAcentral lists this ribosomal RNA (329 nucleotides) under uncultured Anaerolineaceae bacterium. RNAcentral describes it as "bacterial SSU rRNA". It matches the Rfam family "Bacterial small subunit ribosomal RNA", at positions 1041 to 1382 of the family's 1533-position model. Lineage: Bacteria; Bacillati; Chloroflexota; Anaerolineae; Anaerolineales; Anaerolineaceae. The record is from RNAcentral.